GGAAGAACUAAGACGUAGCUUACAACCACUCAGGGGCAGUUCCGGAUUCAGAGCAGGAGAGCCUUUAGGAAUCACCGUCUGCCCUCUGCCCUUAUCACACCAAUGGAGGUGGGGGAUGCUUGUGGCCAUGCUCCAACUUCCCUGGGCCUAAGAGGGUAAAGAGCUUUGGGGCCUGACAGUGCCACUUGAGUCUGGGCUUUCCUGUGGACCUGCUGUGGCCAAGAUGAAAGAAGGCUGCACUGGUAGGAAGGCUCCAGGUAAGCUGCCUCCUUGUUUAUUCUUCCCUUGGGGAACCACUUGGUUUGGCCCUUAUUGGAAGGGCACAAGGGGAGCAGAACCCAGUGGUAGCAGGGGCUGAACAGGGUGUGUGCCUGAGGGCGUGUGUGUGUGUGUGUGUUUGCCAAGUGUGUGUGUGGCAACCCCCAGGCCAAUGCCCAUCCCCAUGCCAUGCUGGGCCUGCGAUGCUGAGGUGCUUCAGACACAGCCCACCCCAGGAGGCCCAGUCUGAGGAGGGAAAAGAGCACAGGUCCUGCUGGCGUCCCCACAGGGCAGGGCAUCCAGAGGCAUCUCUGAGGGUCUUGGCUUGGGGUCAGUGAAGAAGGGAGACGAGUGCCAACUUUGGCCCAAUCAAGAGAGAGUAGUGAUCCCACCCCCUAAUCUGAAUAAUGACCCCACCUCCAAUUCUGAUGCCUUGGGAGAUAAAUCCCAUCAAACAUCACAGCACCAAGGACUUUGCCCUCUAUGCACUUCCACCUUCAUUCCCAUUUGAGUUGUUCAGCCCCUUCUCACCGAGGUCUUGCCUCCCCUCCUGGCCCCUGCUAGGGCAUGGUUCCCCCUCUCAGGACCCUCAGCCCUGCAAUCCCUCUGUCAGUGGCCCCUGCACAUUCUUUCCUUUUCCACUGCAGGACAGAGAUAGGGCUGGGUGUCUCCCUGGCUUCCAGCACAUGGCCCCGAGAGCCCUUGUGCAUGUCACACACAGGUGCGUGAAUGAGGGGUGCUCACUGAGAUGCUGUGACCCCAAAACCUAACAGUGCCAACUGGUCCAGCAGCCCAAGGAGCUUGGAAGGAACCAGGAAGGUGGAUCAGGGCCAUCACCUGCUGGGCCGGGAGCUCUUUCUUUAAAGCCUCAGGCUCUGGCCUCUCCACACCUUAUUGGAAGUACGAGGGGAGCAAAGCCCAGCUGUAGCAGGGACUGAACAGGGUGUGUGCGUGAGGGCAUGUGUGGACCUCCCCUCUGCACUUCAGCAUCCUCCCUUCCUCCCAAAGAAACCAAUGCCUGGCCCAACCUUUAGGAGUGAGCGUGUGUGUAUCUGUGCAAGCACACACAUGCGCACAUGCAGCUUUCACACUCACCUUCCUCCUCCGUGCUUUCUGGCUCCUCCAAUAAAGUGCAGUCAAUGAGGGAUAUGACUCCAUUCUGAAAAAGAGCAGCAGGGGCCGCUUUGGAUUGAGGGAUAGAUGUGCUGGUUUAGGAGUCCCUGGAUGAUAGGGUUGGAAGGGACUUUAACAAGGAGCAUCCAUGUAUACACACAGAUGUAUGGAUAUAUUGUACACCAAGUGGGUAUUUCGCUUUUUCAGUGGAAGGACCUUAUCUUCAUAUAAGAAGCUCAAUGAAGUGGGUCAAAGGGGAUUGUCUCAGAGAGGCCUUCCCCAAACCAAGGUUGAGUUCUGGCCAUGGCUGGAGCGGCUGAACAGACAGCAUGAGCAAAGGCCCUGGGCCUAUGAGGAGUCAGAAGCGGGUCUGAGAUGCUCAUUCCCUCCACCUUUAGGGAUGAGCUGGUUAGCUGAGCGUCAGGGCCUCACGCAGGGCUGCAAGGUCCUGAGGCUCUGUGUGGAGCAGCUCAGCAGCCUCCAGGGCUCCUGUGCUGGAGGAGGGGACGCCUGAGAAGGUCACUGGGAGGGGCUCUGUCAGAGCUCCUUUGGGGUGGAGAUGAAAGAAAGGCUCCGAGUGAUGCCUUGGCCCUCAGCCAGUGGAGGCCCUCUACCCUGCCCCUCACAUACACCACACACAGACACAUACACACACACCACACACACAGACACAAAAACACAUACCACACACACAGACAAACACAUAUCUCACACAUAGACACACACAGAUACACACAUCACACAUGCAAACACACACACACACACACAUAUACACACCACACACAUCACACGUACAUACACAGAGACACACGUACACAAAAAUACACCACACAGACACACACACACAUACACAUAUACCACACCCACCCACCACAUACAUACAUAUAAACAUACACAGAUAUACACAUAGAUACACAGACACAUACCACACACAUAUCCACCUCACCUGUACACAGAAAGACAAUACAUAUACACACAUACAUAUGCUAUAUACCAUACACACACACAAUGAACACAUACAAAUGCACAGAGACACAACACACAUAGAGACAAACACAUACACACACUAUACACAAAUACACACAUCAUAUACACAAAUACAGACACACAUAUAUACACACACAUACAUACACACACCACACACACAGACACAAACACAUAUACACAUACAUACAUACUGAUAUGGUUUGGCUGUGCCCCCACUCAAAUCUCAUCUUGAAUUGUAGCUCCCAUAAUCCCCAUGUGUCAUGGGAGGGACCCAGUGGGAGGUAAUUGAAUCAUGGGGGUAGAUUUUUCCCAUGCUAUUCUUGUGAUAUUGAAUAAGUAUCACAAGAUCUGAUAGUUUUAUAAAGGGCAGUUCCCCUGCACAUGCUCUCUUGCCUGCUGCCGUGUAAGACAUACCUUUGCUCCUCCUUUGCCUUCCACCAUGAUUGCGAGGCCUCCUCAGCCAUGUGGAACUGUGAACCCAUUAAACCUCUUUUUCUUUGUAAAUUACCCAGUCUCAGGUAUUUCUUCAUAGCAGUAUGAAAAUGGACUAAUACACACAGAGAGAUAUAAACACAUACAGACACACACACAUAUACAUACACACCAUGCACACAUACACACACAUGCAUAUACACAUACACACACACACACCACAUAUACAAACACACAGACACAAAAACACCACACAUACAUACACACAAACACACACAGACACACACACAUGCCUUUUAGGGAUUUGUCCAGGCCCUCUGGCUCCUCUGCCCAGGUGCCCAGUGUGGGGAAUCUGAGGCCUUCAAUUCUCACCUUCCCAUCUCCUAGGAUUUCCCUAGUGGAAAAUCAGUCAAGUUUUGCUCGCUCCAACUGGCCAAACUAUGGGGUGUGUGUAUAUCUAUGUGUGUGUGCAUGCACAUGUCUCCGACACCCCUGCCCACCACCUGGGCCCAUAGACCCUAUGGCCAGGACAGCGCCUGCAUGACCCUGGCUGGGCAGCCCCCAAGCCCCUCUCCCAUAGCCCUUACCUUGGUCAGGUGAAGCUUCCCUCCAGAGCCUCUGGUACAGAUAAUCAGAUGCUUAGAAAACAGGAAGCACUGUCGUUCACCCUCUUUCUUUAGGGAGAGAGACCCCAGGCGCCCCCUGGUGAUCUUGCCCUUUUCAGACAUGGGCACCUGGAUGAGGGAACCUGUGGGUGGAGGAGAGAGACCCUGAGCCCAUCUCCUGGGAUGACCUUUGCCUCUGACCCAGCCUUGAAGGUUGAGAUGCUGGGGCAGCAGCAGUGGGACAAGUCCAUUCUGGUUCCCAGUGGCAAAUGUGCCCCUGGGAUGUUCCUUUAUGCCUCUCUGCAGGGCCAGAUGGCUGGGGAUUGAGAGGUGAUCAGGGAAGCUCCAUGCAGGGCCCACUGACAUCCCAGCCAGGGGCUAGGGGCUAAGCCAGCAAAGGAACCCCAUGUGGUGAGAGUGAAGGGCUGGGCUGAGGUCUGGGGAUGGCAGGGAGCUGAACAAGUUGGAAGCUGGCUGCAGGCCCCGAGGGGUUAACAAGAUACAUUGCACUCCUGCUGGGAACUGCUUAGGGCAAACCCUGCCUCCCAUCCUAUUUGUGAAAAA
Long non-coding RNA from Symphalangus syndactylus (siamang), 3959 nucleotides. RefSeq lists it as uncharacterized. The record is from RefSeq and is a predicted model, not a curated record. NCBI's taxonomy places the organism in Eukaryota, Metazoa, Chordata, Mammalia, Primates, Hylobatidae.